CGUGUCGUGAGAUGUUGGGUUAAGUCCCGCAACGAGCGCAACCCCUAUCCUUUGUUGCCAGCACGCAAUGGUGGGAACUCAAAGGAGACUGCCGCGGACAACGCGGAGGAAGGCGGGGAUGACGUCAAGUCAUCAUGCCCCUUAUGUCCUGGGCUACACACGUACUACAAUGGGAUGGACAGAGAGCAGCGAAGCCGCGAGGCCAAGCGAACCCCAUAAACCAUCUCCCAGUUCGGAUUGCAGGCUGCAACCCGCCUGCA
RNAcentral lists this ribosomal RNA (260 nucleotides) under uncultured bacterium. Its description in RNAcentral is "partial 16S ribosomal RNA". It matches the Rfam family "Bacterial small subunit ribosomal RNA", at positions 1061 to 1320 of the family's 1533-position model. The record is from RNAcentral.